ACCUGAAAUCAAGCAAGAUCACCCGCUGAACUUAAGCAUAUCAAUAAGCGGAGGA
This 55-nucleotide ribosomal RNA is filed under the name Paramecium caudatum. RNAcentral describes it as "partial 28S ribosomal RNA". RNAcentral also lists the same sequence under 3 other names. The record is from RNAcentral. Lineage: Eukaryota; Ciliophora; Oligohymenophorea; Peniculida; Parameciidae.